RNAcentral lists this long non-coding RNA (442 nucleotides) under Phasianus colchicus (ring-necked pheasant). Its description in RNAcentral is "lncRNA (ENSPCLG00000001018.1)". Lineage: Eukaryota; Metazoa; Chordata; Aves; Galliformes; Phasianidae. The record is from RNAcentral.
AUAGCACUGAAUUUGUGACACCACAAUUAUUUCCAUGGCAACUAGUUACUGUCAAGCAGAGAAGCACUGCAAGGACAGCAGAGUAGGAGUGAUACAAUCAGCAAUUUUAUUCUGUCCAGAGAAUUCCAAGCUGUUGGAGAGUGCACAUAGUGACAGAAAGGCCAACACAAAAGGCCCUGCACAAAUCAGAUUACUUGUAAUGAAAGUAGGAAUAAUGAUCUCCAAUCAACUGCAGCUAAUUUACAUUUACUGCACCCUUCAAGAAGUGUCUGAAAUAAGAAUUGUGCUCUCCGGAGACAGAGAAAAGACUUUUCAUCAUCCAAAGCCCUGUCAGCAUAGAUAAAAGACCUGAGGCUGAUGAAGGUCUGACUCAAAGCAUGAACAGAAGUAGACCAUGUAGAAAUGUUGAAAGUGGUGUAAUAAAGUCUCUUGUUGGAAGGCA